GAUGAACGCUGGCGGCGUGCCUAAUACAUGCAAGUCGAGCGAACGGACGAGAAGGUUUGCCCUCUCUGGCUGGCGCGGGGCGGGGGUGUGAGACAUGUAUGUAACCCAUCUAUUACGCGGGGAACACCGCGGGAAACCGGAGCUUAUAACGGAAUAUAUUUAACUGCGUAUGAAACAAGAGCGAGAGACUGUUCUCGUUUCACUUAGAGGUGGUCGCGCGGGGUAUUAGCUAGUUGGUGGGGUAACGGAUCACCAAGGCAACGAUCCAUAGCCGACCUGAGAGGGUGAUCAGCCACACUGGAACUGAGACACGGUCCAGACUCCUACGGGAGGCAGCAGUAGGGAAUCUUCCGCAAUGGGCGAAAGCCUGACGGAGCAAUGCCGCGUGAGUGAAGAAGGUCUUCGGAUCGUAAAACUCUGUUGUUAGGGAAGAACAAGUGCGUGAGUAACUGAACGUAUCUUGACGGUACCUAAUCAGAAAGCCACGGCUAACUACGUG
RNAcentral lists this ribosomal RNA (499 nucleotides) under uncultured bacterium. RNAcentral describes it as "partial 16S ribosomal RNA". It matches the Rfam family "Bacterial small subunit ribosomal RNA", at positions 28 to 507 of the family's 1533-position model. The record is from RNAcentral.